This is a small nuclear RNA of Temnothorax curvispinosus, 106 nucleotides long. NCBI's taxonomy places the organism in Eukaryota, Metazoa, Arthropoda, Insecta, Hymenoptera, Formicidae. The record is from RefSeq and is a predicted model, not a curated record.
GUGUUGUAUGAAAGGAGAGAAGUUUAGCACUCCCCUAGACAAGGAUGGAUUACACAUGUACUGGUAGGCACUGUCGUCAGUUGACGGCACUUACCACACAUUUUUU